AUUGAACGCUGGCGGCAGGCCUAACACAUGCAAGUCGAGCGGUAGAGAGAAGCUUGCUUCUCUUGAGAGCUGCGGACGGGUGAGUAAUGCCUAGGAAUCUGCCUGGUAGUGGGGGAUAACGUUCGGAAACGGACGCUAAUACCGCAUACGUCCUACGGGAGAAAGCAGGGGACCUUCGGGCCUUGCGCUAUCAGAUGAGCCUAGGUCGGAUUAGCUAGUUGGUGGGGUAAUGGCUCACCAAGGCGACGAUCCGUAACUGGUCUGAGAGGAUGAUCAGUCACACUGGAACUGAGACACGGUCCAGACUCCUACGGGAGGCAGCAGUGGGGAAUAUUGGACAAUGGGCGAAAGCCUGAUCCAGCCAUGCCGCGUGUGUGAAGAAGGUCUUCGGAUUGUAAAGCACUUUAAGUUGGGAGGAAGGGUUGUAGAUUAAUACGCUGCAAUUUUGACGUUACCGACAGAAUAAGCACCGGCUAACUCUGUG
RNAcentral lists this ribosomal RNA (484 nucleotides) under uncultured bacterium. RNAcentral describes it as "partial 16S ribosomal RNA". It matches the Rfam family "Bacterial small subunit ribosomal RNA", at positions 30 to 507 of the family's 1533-position model. The record is from RNAcentral.